Molecule: ribosomal RNA, 478 nt
Filed under: uncultured bacterium
Lineage: Bacteria
Description: partial 16S ribosomal RNA
Rfam family: Bacterial small subunit ribosomal RNA
Source: RNAcentral
GACGAACGCUGGCGGCGUGCUUAACACAUGCAAGUCGAACGACGAAGCCCUUCGGGGUGGAUUAGUGGCGAACGGGUGAGUAACACGUGGGCAAUCUGCCCUUCACUCUGGGACAAGCCCUGGAAACGGGGUCUAAUACCGGAUAACACUUCCGCUCGCAUGGGUGGAGGUUAAAAGCUCCGGCGGUGAAGGAUGAGCCCGCGGCCUAUCAGCUUGUUGGUGAGGUAAUGGCUCACCAAGGCGACGACGGGUAGCCGGCCUGAGAGGGCGACCGGCCACACUGGGACUGAGACACGGCCCAGACUCCUACGGGAGGCAGCAGUGGGGAAUAUUGCACAAUGGGCGAAAGCCUGAUGCAGCGACGCCGCGUGAGGGAUGACGGCCUUCGGGUUGUAAACCUCUUUCAGCAGGGAAGAAGCGAAAGUGACGGUACCUGCAGAAGAAGCGCCGGCUAACUACGUGCCAGCCGCCGCGGUAA